AUUGAACGCUGGCGGCAUGCCUUACACAUGCAAGUCGAACGGUAACGCGGGGCAACCUGGCGACGAGUGGCGAACGGGUGAGUAAUAUAUCGGAACGUGCCCAGUAGUGGGGGAUAGCCCGGCGAAAGCCGGAUUAAUACCGCAUACGACCUACGGGUGAAAGGCGGGGGAUCGCAAGACCUCGCGCUAUUGGAGCGGCCGAUAUCAGAUUAGGUAGUUGGUGGGGUAAAGGCCUACCAAGCCUACGAUCUGUAGCUGGUCUGAGAGGACGACCAGCCACACUGGGACUGAGACA
Molecule: ribosomal RNA, 295 nt
Filed under: uncultured bacterium
Lineage: Bacteria
Description: partial 16S ribosomal RNA
Rfam family: Bacterial small subunit ribosomal RNA
Source: RNAcentral